GACGAACGCUGGCGGCGUGCUUAACACAUGCAAGUCGAACGGUAAGGCCCUUCGGGGUACACGAGUGGCGAACGGGUGAGUAACACGUGGGUGAUCUGCCCUGCACUUCGGGAUAAGCCUGGGAAACUGGAUCUAAUACCGGAUAGGACUCCGGACUGCAUGGUCUGGGGUGGAAAGCUUUUGCGGUGUGGGAUGGGCCCGCGGCCUAUCAGCUUGUUGGAGGGGUGAUGGCCUACCAAGGCGACGACGGGUAGCCGGCCUGAGAGGGUGACCGGCCACACUGGGACUGAGAUACGGCCCAGACUCCUACGGGAGGCAGCAGUGGGGAAUAUUGCACAAUGGGCGCAAGCCUGAUGCAGCGACGCCGCGUGAGGGAUGACGGCCUUCGGGUUGUAAACCUCUUUCAGCAUCGACGAAGCGAAAGUGACGGUAGGUGCAGAAGAAGGACCGGCCAACUACGUGCCAGCCGCCGCUGUAA
This 478-nucleotide ribosomal RNA is filed under the name uncultured bacterium. Its description in RNAcentral is "partial 16S ribosomal RNA". It matches the Rfam family "Bacterial small subunit ribosomal RNA", at positions 28 to 523 of the family's 1533-position model. The record is from RNAcentral.